UUUACCGAAAUACUAAUUUUACAAAUUACCGAAAUACCAAUUUUGCCCAUUUGUAAAAAGUAAAACCUUCGAUGGCGUUCUCUCUGCACCCUUCCCCAUCGCUCUCUCCCUCGUGACGACUGCGCUCUUGGAUUGGAAUCUUUUGUGGCUUUGAUUAAAUGGAGUGAUAGCAUUCGGGUACAUGAUAUGGUAGGCUUUUGGUGACUUCUGACAAGCGGCAUGCAUAAAAGGUUUAGGCUGUAUCUAUGUGGUCCAUGUGAAGGUACCUCAAGCCAUCCAACCUUCUUUUAUGAUCAAGCUACUGCCUACUUAUUGUUCACAUUAAACCCAGUGUUGGAAACGUAGGAAGCUGUGGCAGUGUCUUGUCCAUAAGUGCAUGAAGAAUACAUCUAUGGGAGGGAGAGGGGGAGGGAGAGGGAGAGAGUUUAUAACAGUAAUCGAUCUUGUUGAGGAUUGUUCAGUUCAUGAACUUGAUUAGCUUUGAGUGGAAAAUGCUUUCUUGUUCAUGUCCCAUUUCAAGGAACCCACAAAAUGAAAAGAUGCUCUUAACAGGAUGUCAAAUUUUGAGUUAGUAGAUGCCUUAUGUUAUGCUUAUGACAAUGUGCUCUUGUUUAUUGUCUUUAAACUCAAAUUGCAUUUUUUUA
Molecule: long non-coding RNA, 644 nt
Organism: Eucalyptus grandis
Lineage: Eukaryota; Viridiplantae; Streptophyta; Magnoliopsida; Myrtales; Myrtaceae
Exons: 2
Source: RefSeq, a predicted model, not a curated record